GUUUGCAGGAAGAGCUAGAAAACUAAUGAUCACAUCUCCGAUUCCAACAACCGCAACCAUUGCUAAGAAUGAGAAAAACAUCAACAGAGAAAAAUCAGCUACAAAAGUGAAUUCAUCAUCCAUGGCUGAGCAACGGCUGGCGGCAGACGAGUCAGAAUGUCAGUUUCAACGUUGGAAAAAAUUGAGCCAAUUCAUUUCACUAACUUAAAAACGCCAUUCUCAAUGGCGUUUUUCGUCGAACACGCCAACCCCAAGUGUUUGAUGAAAUGCCUCAAAGAGGAUUUUGUCCUUGUCUUUUACAUAGCACACCAAGUGUUUGAUGGAAUGUUUAAGUGAGCUCCAGCCAGAUUUUACAUCCUAAACUUCGAUGAAAACACGAUUUGAUGAGUCAUAAUUUACAUAAAAACGUGUAAUCUAAGGGGAAAAAUAUAGAAAAUAUGCUUCACAUCACGGCUA
Long non-coding RNA from Salvia splendens (bonfire salvia), 456 nucleotides. RefSeq lists it as uncharacterized. The transcript is spliced from 2 exons. NCBI's taxonomy places the organism in Eukaryota, Viridiplantae, Streptophyta, Magnoliopsida, Lamiales, Lamiaceae. The record is from RefSeq and is a predicted model, not a curated record.